This 253-nucleotide ribosomal RNA is filed under the name uncultured bacterium. RNAcentral's name for it is "partial 16S ribosomal RNA". It matches the Rfam family "Bacterial small subunit ribosomal RNA", at positions 524 to 776 of the family's 1533-position model. The record is from RNAcentral.
UACAGAGGGGGCAAGCGUUGUUCGGAAUUACUGGGCGUAAAGGGCGCGUAGGCGGCCUGUUAAGUCGAACGUGAAAUCCCCGGGCUCAACCCGGGAACUGCGUCCGAUACUGGGAGGCUUGAAUUCGGGAGAGGGAUGCGGAAUUCCAGGUGUAGCGGUGAAAUGCGUAGAUAUCUGGAGGAACACCGGUGGCGAAGGCGGCAUCCUGGACCGAGAUUGACGCUGAGGCGCGAAAGCCAGGGGAGCAAACGGG